RNAcentral lists this ribosomal RNA (253 nucleotides) under uncultured bacterium. RNAcentral describes it as "partial 16S ribosomal RNA". It matches the Rfam family "Bacterial small subunit ribosomal RNA", at positions 524 to 776 of the family's 1533-position model. The record is from RNAcentral.
UACAGAGGUGGCAAGCGUUGUUCGGAAUUACUGGGCGUAAAGGGCGCGUAGGCGGCCGCCUAAGUCAGACGUGAAAUCCCCAAGCUUAACUUGGGAACUGCGUCUGAUACUGGGUGGCUUGAGUUCGGGAGAGGGAUGCGGAAUUCCAGGUGUAGCGGUGAAAUGCGUAGAUAUCUGGAGGAACACCGGUGGCGAAGGCGGCAUCCUGGACCAACACUGACACUGAUGAGCGAAAGCCAGGGGAGCAAACGGG